GCAAGCUCUGUCAUAUAAUGGUGCAACUUGCGGCGGUAUUUCAGUUGGUGGAAGAGGGUUCCGGCAACUGGAGGGUAUCUCUUGUUCUUCUUUUGCAUAAAUAUUACUCCUAAAAGGAACAUGACUGCUAAACUUAUUGCAAUGGGAGGUAAAGGAGUGGAAAGAAGAAAAUCCAUGACCAAAAUUCUUAUGGGAUAUUGGAGUUGACAAUGAAGUUAGAACUAGACAACCUGAGUCCCUUAAAUCAUUGUAACAGCUGCCUCGCAACAAAAAAGAUAUCAAGAGGGAUCAUUGGGAUCAGACAUAUAUUAGUUUCGAAGUGGUUCAAUUAUGACUGUACUCUACUGGUCAUAAUUUCUAACGGUAUUGGCAAGACAGUAUUAGAUAAGCUUUCACGCGACUUCAAUUUUGUAGUUUCCAAUCGGGUAAGGUUAUAGACUUAUAACCUCUCACAGAGAAAGACUCCAGAACGUCUCUAACUCCUCCUCAAUUAAUUAACUUCUAGAUACCUAACUGGCUAACUGUCUCUCGUCAAUGAAUACUGCUCUAUUUACAGAUUGGCUUCUGUAUGAUCUCUCACAGCUCAAUUUGUGUUGCUGCUGUAUCAUUGAAAUAAGUAUUCCCACUUCAGGCGGUUUAAUUUGUUUAAAGGAUAUGGAUUAUGCACAAAACAAACAAACGCUAAGCAAAAUGAUGCUGAUAUUUGUCAAAAAUGCUACCCUGAUUUGCUCAGCGUUUAGCAAAUGAAGCCCUGUUAAAGAGUUAGGGGUCAGAAAGCUCACCUUCAAGUUGCCAUUUGAAAUAUAAACAACUAAAUCACUUAAACUAAGAACAAAUGCUUAACAACAUAUUAAUUGCACAUGAUGCAUCGAUCAUAGCCAUCUCAUAAUUUAGUAGAUGAGCCUCCAAAAUAUACUUCAAGGCAGGUAAAGCCAUUUACACAUUUAAAAUAUAAACAAUUUAUAACUAGUGUAUUUCAACUGUUUUUUGUGGUUAAAAUCAUGAUGCAUAUUGGCCAUGCCAAAAUGCAAACGCUAAGCAUAGUGAUUCUGAAUUUCUGAUAUCUGAAAAGUGCAGUACUAUGUCGAAAUUAUGAGAGGAAAAAAACCCUCUAUCCCUUAUUUACUCCGUUAGCAUAUAGCAAACGGUCACAGAAGCUCAUUAGGUCUCAAGUCUCAAGGAUCAAGAGAUUUGAGACUGUGUUCUGUUUCCCCCUUACGUACGUUUGGUAUUUCUAUUUUUGGUUUUGAGUCCUAGCAUGUUCCUCUUUACCCUGGACAUCGAUCAUCUUUCUCACGAAAAUUCUUGUAUUCACUUUGUAAAAUUUUAUAUUUUCACUCUUAUUUCUAGCAACCGGACCAAUAGCAGUUAGAUUGUCAAAAGAUUCUGUUUUUGUAACUAUGAUUAUACUUCCAUUGAAUACAUGAAGAAUCCCAUUUUCUCAAAAAACAAACAGAGGCUUUCAGUGUUCUUGGACAGAAUAUACUGCACUUAAACCAAGUGAAUCAGCUCAAACCAAUAUCAUAAACAAUCAAAAUCAAUGCAGAUCAAGCUUCCACAAAGAAGUUGAAGACAAAUAUCAAAAUCCACAGAAUAUACACUUAGAUACUGCAUAUACCUUAGACUUAUUUCAUAAACAAAUCCUUCCACCAAAAGGCACAUAAAGUAAUUAAUUUAUAUGCACGCUAGACAAUCAGAACAAUGAGAAUAUACAACCAACCUAAAGUGCAAUAUCUGUAGUAUGUGAUCUCUGAUACUGUACGUGAGACAUUGCAAACUUACUUGGAUAUCUAUUGAUUUGCUACAGUUUGCAGCUUGAUGAAUUAUGCCAGCCAGUUUCAAUCCAUUUGUUUUGAAGAUUUCACUGCUGAAGUCCCUGAGUACUUUGGUUGAGAACUGAGAGCUUGAUGCCUUCCUCUGAUGCAUCCAUUUGUCCCCAUCCACAGCGUAGAUCCCAUCUCCCAUAUAAUCAGACAGAAUUUCAUGCAGGUACAAUCCCUAAAAAGAAAUGGUCGACUUAAGCUUUAUGAUCGAUCAUUUUAUAAUUGGGCAUUUAUAUUCCUAAUUUUCUUUCAAAUAGUGAUAUUGCAUGUCUGGCCUUUGGGGUUAAUAUAUAACGUACCUUGCUAUAGUUCGCAAAGUUUGUUUUGAACACGUAUUCCACAUUUGCAGGAUCUGCAGUGUAAACAAUAGUCCUGAACAAGCUAAGCAUUCUGUAAGUUCUGUAUUUGUAGGCAAGCUCAGUCAUGUAAUGGAAUCAGUUGGUGUAAGACGGUUCCGGCGAGAGGAGGGUAUCUUUUGUUGUUCUCUGGCCAAAAAAAAUAACUGCUAAAAGAACAAGUACUGGUAACUUAUUGCUAUCUUAGCUAAAGGCAGGCUGGAAAGAAAAUCCAUGACCAAUAUAUAUGCUUAUGGGAUAUUGAAGAUGAUCAUGAAUUUAGGACAACAUAUAUAUAUAUAUAUAUAUAUAUAUAUNNNNNNNNNNNNNNNNNNNNCAAUUACCUCUUUAAGGACACAUGAGUAAUAAUGUUGUAACUAAUUUUUUUUACUAACUUUAAGGACUCAUAUUAUAAUUUUAAGGAUUAAUAUUACUACUUUGAGGACACUUUUUACAACUUGAGGACAAAGUUGACGCAUCACAUGCAUUAACACACCCUAACCUUACCCCUCAUCAAACUCUUAGUUUUGUAGUCUAAAAUGCAUUGAUAUCAAGUUGCGUUCGUGUCGUGUUGAGCCUUCGCAAGGGAAGUUACAAUUAAUAGUCAUGUUUAUGCUAACUUGAUUUUUAUCAGUAAGUUUUGUGUGAUAUAUAUGUAACAACUGAUUUGGACAUGAAAACCUUGUGAGUAUUUGGAAAUUGAUAUCUCUAAAUUGUCCAUCCGUCGAUGCUACUGAUAUAUAUACACACCAACUGAAUCUGCUCAAGCUAUUAAAUCAAUGCAGAGCAAACUAAUUCCACAAAGAAAUUGAAGACAAAUAUCAAAAUCCAGAGUAUACACUUAAUUACUGCAUAUACUUAUCUGCAGUGUUCUUAUAAUCAUUUAUAAUUAAAUACACUUCAUGAAAUCCAUCAUCACUUACUGAUUUAUUGUAAUGCCAAAUGAUGCAUAUACCUUGAUUAAAGGCUCAUCAACAAGAAGUUGUUGAUCACAAGUUUGAUGUUUCAAAUAUGAGACUAACAUCUGAUACAACUUUCUUACAAUGCUCAAACUCUUGGAAAGGCAUGAACAUGAAGUCUCUUGAUAUCGAGCGUGACCAUCGUCCUGUAUUCCACCACUUUUGUCUCGUCAGUGAGCUUGAAUAUGUACUUGGUUAAAAGCACAGCACAGAAUAUCUUCAUUUGCAGAUAACUAUAAUCCUUUCCCAGACAAAUUCUUGGACCGGCCUGCAUCAUAACUAUAUCAUCAGAACAUCUAUAACUAAGCAACCUUAUCAAGAAAAUAUUAGCUUGGUGUUCUUCGUAUAUUACACUGAAGGUUAUGAAUUUGAAAGGGUUUUCUUCUUUGAAAUUGCCAUUUCCGUCAAGCCAUCUCUCUGGCCGGAACUCUUCUGCAUCAUCACCCCAUAUAUACUUCAUCCGGCCCAUUGAAUAAGGUUGGUAUACGAUCAUUUCUCCUUUUCUCACACUAUGUCCAUCUGGCCAGGUAUCAUCAGAAAAACAAACCCUCGCAUUCUAUGAACAAAUACGAACAUCAACAUUAUUAAUAAAUUAAUUAGAAGUAAUGUAAAGAGAGAUUCAAAUCAAGAAGAACAAAUUAAGAAACGUAACAUUCAGUUCAUGUAUAUGACAUUUAGAGUAAUGCUACGUGAACCACCUAGAGUCCACCUUACGUGGCAAGCUGACGUGGCAUAUCCACAUUAUCAAUAUAAGAUUUCUAAUAUUUUAAAUUUCUGUUUUUUAUUAUUAAUUACGAAAUCUCAUUUUUCAUUUUGUAUUCUUUGAACCCUAUCAUAUUAUCUAUUUAUCGUCUAAUCGUUUAAAACAAAAUCCUAACAAAAAUCCUUAUAAUAAGUCUUCAAACAGACGUGAUUCUAUCAUAUCUUCCUCUCAUCUCUCCCAUCCUCCCACCUUAUCUUCAAUUCAAUUGAUUAGGAAUUCUCAAUCUGAUUUUGGCUUUGUCAAUCACAAACAUUCCAUGCCUAUUCUCUAGAAUAGUCAGAGAAUGUUUUUUUUUUUUGCCCUUUUCAUAACAUGUUUGGAAUUAAGGGUUUGGGGGAGUGGAUUUGAAUUGGGGUUCAUAUUAUAGCUAUGAUUUUGAAUUAGGGUUCAUACUCUCACAUGUGAUUUUGAAUUAGGGUUCAUACCCAAACCCUUAAUUCCAAACAUGUUAUGAAAGGAAAAGAAAGAUGAAGAAACAGUAAUCACAAUUAGAAUAGGCAGAGGAUGUUUGCGAGAAAGCCGAGAUCAAACUGAGAAUUCCUUUAUCAAUUGAAUUAAAUAAGAGGUGGGAGGAUGGGGUGAGAUAACAGGAUGGAUAGAACUACGUCGGUUUUGAAGAUGUAUUGUACAUAGGCAAAAAGAACUUCUUCUUUUUUUUUGGUAAGGAUUAGAAAGACAAAGGAUAUAGGGUUUAAAAAAAAAUAAAAAAGAAAAAAAAAAUUAGUAAUUAAUAAUAAAAAAACAGAAAUUUAAAAUAUUAGCUUAUAUUGAUGACGUGGAUAUGCCACAUUAGCUUGUCACGUAAGAUGGGCUCUAGAUAUUUCACCUAGCAUUACUCAUGACAUUUAUCCUAGAUGUUUAAGUUACCAUUGGAACUGCAGGAUAGAGUCUCAGUGUCUCGGUCAAGGCUGCAUGGAGGUAUUGCAUUUUAUUAAGGGCUUCUUCAGUAAGGUUGGCUGCAACUUCAUCAGCGCUUGAAGUAUUAUUCAGACCUGUUGCUUCUCUAACUUCCUGUGCAAUCUUCUCUUGUAUAUCAAGAUGCUUACACAUCAUAUAAAUAAACCAUGAAAGAGCAGAAGUAGUUGUGUCUUUGCCCGCAGCAAUAAAACUGAGGACCAUGUCUCUCAAGUACUUUGGAUCAGUCUCUUUAGCUUCCAAUAGUUUGGAAAUAAAGUCUCUUCUCUUUAACUGUGAUUUAACCUCAAAAUAUCAGUAACAUCAAAUCAAUUAAUACUAUGUUAUUUCAACCUAGAGUAGAAAGGAAGGUACGUAACUCACAGGUUGCUCGUAUUGUUCUUCUGACUUACGGAGUUUUUCAAUCUUUAUGUUGAUUAAAUUGUAUACAAAGUCAUCCAACACUUUCAUAUUUCUUCUUAUCGCUGCUUCCGUACCAAUGUUUAAGAACCGUUUGAUCCUCCAAAAGACAUCAGCAACACGAUAAAUGAUAGAUCCGCUUGCAUAAGCAACAGCAUUGGCAAACCGGAUAUUUUCAUUGUUUGUUGCAGACAUGGUAUCUAGAUCGAUACCAAGUAGAAUCUUGACGAUUGAAUCCAAGGUUGAUUGCAAAAACAAAACCUUCCAACAGUACGAAGAUCAUUAAUUCAUAGACUGAUAUUCAACAUUAAAAAAAAAAAAUCAACAAAUCUGAACAUACAGUGCUACAUAUGUAGUAUAUAUGUUACUCUUGUCUAUUGCAACUCACUUGCAUCUCUAUUGAUUUGCCGCAGGUUGCAGCUUCAUGAAUUCUGCUAGCAAGUUUGACUGCAUUGGUCUUGAAGAUUUCACCGCUGAAGUCUCUAAGUACUUUUGUUGAGAAUUGCGAGCCUGAUGCCUUCCUCUGAUGCCUCCAUUUGUCCCCAUCCACAGAAAAGAUCCCAUCGCCCAACACAUCAUACAGAAUGUUAUGCAGGUAAUAUCCCUACAAAAAAAUGGUGUACAAACUUAAGCCUCUUGAUCAAUUAUUUUUAGCAUAUAUAUUCCUAUGGAUUUUCAUAUAUUGAAAUAAAAAUGACAGUUUUUGUACCUUGCCAUAGUUAGCAGCAUUUGUUUUGAGCACAUAUUCGACAUUUACAGGAUCUGCCGUGUAGACUGUGUAUCCAAAAAAGCCAAGUAUCCUGUAAGUUCUGUACUUGCAUGCAAGCUCUGUCAUAUAAUGGUGCAACUUGCGGCGGUGUUUCAGUUGGUGGAAGAGGGUUCCGGCAACUGGAGGGUAUCUCUUGUUCUGCUUCUUCCCCAGAAAAAUAACUCCUAAAAGGAACAUGACUGCUAAACUUAUUGCUAUGGGAGGUAAAGGAGUGGAAAGAAGAAAAUCCAUGACCAAAAUUCUUAUGGGAUAUUGGAGUUGACAAUGAAGUUAGAACUAGACAACCUGAGAGGGAUCAUUCGGAUGAGACAUAUAUAGUUUCCAAGUGGUCAUAAUUGCGACUGUACUCUACUGGACAUAGGCAUGGGAUUCAGUAUUAAAUAAGCUUUCAUGGGACUUCAAUUUUGUCGUUUCCAAUCGGGUAAGGUUAUAACCUCUCCGUCUCUAACUUCUAGACACCCAACUGUCUCUCGUCAAUAAAUACUGCUCUAUUUACAGAAUGACUUCUCUAUUUCCAAAAUCGCAGGAAAAUCAAAUCGAAUUGAAACGAGAAAAAAGAGAAUCGGAAAGAGAUUACGUCUUUGAAUUGGAGGAGGCCGAGGUCGCCGAGAUAAGAGACGGUGAGGUGGGCGGACUCGAUGGGGAUGAUGAUCUGGACGAGCUGCAUAUGUUCCACGUCCUUCCAGUCCCCCUUAUCUCUUCUCCAUUUAUGUUGUUGGGUCCGUGAGGAAAUUUCCUGCUUUUUUAAAAGCAUUUCCGACAGCUUUUUUAUUUUCUUUACUUUUUUAAAAGCAUCUCCGACAGUUUUCUCGUAUUAUUGGUUUUCUUGUUUUUACUUUUGGGGAAGAUUUUGGUUAUUUUGUUUCAAUAGAUUUUCUAAAACUUUCUCCAAAAUAAAGAAUGUGAUGAGAGAGAAAGCCAACUUCCUUAUAUUUACAGCAAACUCUAAAAUUUUAAAGAAAGAUUUGGGAAAUG
Molecule: long non-coding RNA, 6938 nt
Filed under: Fragaria vesca (wild strawberry)
Lineage: Eukaryota; Viridiplantae; Streptophyta; Magnoliopsida; Rosales; Rosaceae
Description: long non-coding RNA (FVES_LNC003953)
Source: RNAcentral